GUGUACUUAGCUCAAUGGUUAGUGCAUCACUGAUCAUGAAUGCUGAGUAUGUGAGUUUGACUCUCACAGUACACG
RNAcentral lists this transfer RNA (75 nucleotides) under Puccinia triticina 1-1 BBBD Race 1. Its description in RNAcentral is "tRNA-His (ATG) (tRNA-His-ATG-26-1)". It matches the Rfam family "tRNA". From Rfam's summary of the family: Transfer RNA (tRNA) molecules are approximately 80 nucleotides in length. Their secondary structure includes four short double-helical elements and three loops (D, anti-codon, and T loops). Lineage: Eukaryota; Fungi; Basidiomycota; Pucciniomycetes; Pucciniales; Pucciniaceae. The record is from Rfam by way of RNAcentral.